Molecule: transfer-messenger RNA, 347 nt
Filed under: Lachnospiraceae bacterium
Lineage: Bacteria; Bacillati; Bacillota; Clostridia; Lachnospirales; Lachnospiraceae
Rfam family: transfer-messenger RNA
About the family: Bacterial tmRNA, also known as 10Sa RNA or SsrA, is named for its dual tRNA and mRNA-like properties. Its role is to liberate the mRNA from a stalled ribosome.
Source: RNAcentral
GGGGUUGUACCGGUUUCGACGGGGGUUUUGAAGCUCUGGGAGCCAUCCGCAGACCGUGGCUGCGUAAAAAAACGGAACCUAAAUAUAAACGCUAACGAAAAUUACGCGUUAGCCGCUUAAGCGGCUUGCCGGCCCGGGGGUGCCUGCCACCUCGGUUUACCGGCAUCAUGAAGGGCGGGGCACUGCUUUCCCAAAGCUUUGCGGGUUAGUGAGUAUGAUGAAGCUACUGAAGUUCUGAGCCCGUCUGCGGGCGCUGAACGGAGGGAAUGAUCAAACGCAGACUAUGAUGGUAGGGCCUGGUGUGAAUAGGCUUUCGGACAGGGGUUCGACUCCCCUCAGCUCCACUA